Molecule: long non-coding RNA, 255 nt
Organism: Oncorhynchus nerka (sockeye salmon)
Lineage: Eukaryota; Metazoa; Chordata; Actinopteri; Salmoniformes; Salmonidae
Exons: 3
Source: RefSeq, a predicted model, not a curated record
GAUAGCAGCACGCACUAGUAAAGGCGCCAACAGAAAGGUGCUACUGGACAUGCUGUGUAGUGUAGGGGUACAGCGGUGCGCCCCACCCUCCUCCCCCCUCAACUUCCAUCCUCCCCCCAAGAAGGUUGCUUCGUCACCAGGCAUAGGGUUCGAGGACAUCAUGCACGUUGCGGCGCGUGGGUGCCAUGAGUCGCGGCCGGGAGGAAGUGGACGGGUUCAAAACAGGAAGCAGGAAGUACGUUUCUGUGUAUUUUA